Molecule: signal recognition particle RNA, 272 nt
Filed under: Candidatus Aenigmatarchaeota archaeon
Lineage: Archaea; Nanobdellati; Candidatus Aenigmatarchaeota
Description: signal recognition particle sRNA
Rfam family: Archaeal signal recognition particle RNA
Source: RNAcentral
CUGUGGGAUAGGCCGGGGGAGCUAGGGGUCCCUUGCAAGCGCAAACCCUCUACAGCGCGGCCGAAAAGCCUGGAGAGGUCCGGUUGUACGGCAGGCCUCAGGAACUGACUGAGAAGUCCUGUCCUUCUGGAGCGCUUCAGGCGCGAACCUGGUCAGGCCCGGAAGGGAGCAGCCAUAAGCGUCUGCAACGCUGUUAGAAGGGUAGCAGGAUGGAGAAGGCUUCUGGGACAACCUUCCGUGUGACCAAAGAUCCAUCCAGGCGAAUCCCAUCA